AGUCUUUGCAGUAAUGCAAGGCAUACGGCUCAGUAACAUGUAGUCAACUUACCCUAUGGACGAGGAUAAUCUCGGGAAACUGAGCAUAAUACUCGAUAGAUCAUAAUGCCUGGAAUGGUUUAUGGUUGAAAUGAUUCGUCGCCAUAGGAUGGGACUGCGGCCUAUCAGCUUGUCGGUGAGGUAAUGGCCCACCAAGGCGAUUACAGGUACGGGCUCUGAGAGGAGAAGCCCGGAGAUGGGUACUGAGACAAGGACCCAGGCCCUAUGGGGCGCAGCAGGCGAGAAAACUUUGCAAUGUGCGAAAGCACGACAAGGUUAAUCCGAGUGAUUUCUGCUAAAGAAAUCUUUUGCAAGUCAUAAAACCACUAGUGAAUAAGGGGUGGGCAAGUUCUGGUGUCAGCCGCCGCGGUAAAACCAGCACCUCAAGUGGUCAGGAGGAUUAUUGGGCCUAAAGCAUCCGUAGCCGGCUCUGUAAGUUUUCGGUUAAAUCCAUGUGCUCAACGCAUGGGCUGCCGAAAAUACUGCAUAGCUAGGGAGUGGGAGAGGUAGACGGUACUCGGUAGGAAGGGGUAAAAUCCUUUGAUCUAUCGAUGACCACCUGUGGCGAAGGCGGUCUACCAGAACACGUUCGACGGUGAGGGAUGAAAGCUGGGGGAGCAAACCGGAUUAGAUACCCGGGUAGUCCCAGCUGUAAACGAUGCAGACUCGAUGAUGCAUUGGCAUAUAGCCAGUGCAGUGUCGCA
RNAcentral lists this ribosomal RNA (743 nucleotides) under uncultured archaeon. RNAcentral's name for it is "bacterial SSU rRNA". It matches the Rfam family "Archaeal small subunit ribosomal RNA", at positions 56 to 805 of the family's 1478-position model. The record is from RNAcentral.